UUUGCUUUUGGUCAUGGUGUUUUGUCAUACUAAUGGAAAUCUAAGUCAGGUGUUGACUAACACCACAGUCACAACUUACCCAGGUUAGUACUAGAGAAAAGGAAAACUAACUGACUUUUCAGAACAGAAUCAAGGGUGUCCGUCUCCCACCCCAAGGCUGCACUCCUUUAGAUCUGGCUAUUUUCAGGACAGAACCUGAAAGGCAGAAGCAACACAGACUCUCUAGGUAUUUUAGUUACCUGAUACUAUCUAGGUAUUUAGUUACUUGGAUAAUUUAGAAAAUAUAUUUUGAAGCAACACAGGCUAUCUAGGUAUUUUAGUUACUUGAGACUAUCUAGGUAUUUAGUUACUUGAUAGUUUAGAAAAUAUAAUUUGUAAAGCUCUAGAAACAUAGAAGACUUGCUUGGAUACAUUUUACAUUAAUUUUUGCUAUCUAGCAACCAUACUAUUGGGAAUGACAAUCUUAUCUGUCACGAUCACAGGAAAGGGAAGGACAAUCAAAGUCGUUUCCUAAAAUAUUGCAAAAGGGCUUCCUGUAUAAUUUCAAUUCAUAUGAAGGUAAAUUCCCACUAUGCAGACUCCUAAUUAUAUGCUUACCAAUAAUUGUGUCCAAAUCACUCAUUCCAUUUAUGUUUGUUUUCAUGAACUUAGGAAGAGAACAGGAUUUUUAAGUUAUGGGCACCAUCUCUGUUUCAGAGGACACAAAGUCAUUGGAAGAUGAAUAUGGCAGCACUCUGCCAAUCACACAAACCAGACUUCUAAAUGCUUUAUCUCUGUCAAGACUCAAUUUUUAGUUACUUUAACUAAAUUUUAAUAUAUUUGUGUUUAUUGAGCUUAGUUUUUGAGCACCAGUAACGGUCUAUCCCAUAAUAAGCCCAUGAAAAGAAAAUUUAGAGGUGUAAAAUCCCAAAAGACUUCAUAAUUUGACAGAAGAUUUAAAAGGUAAGUAUAUAAAUAUAUUUGAAAAUUCCAAAUAAAUCUCAAAGCUGGAAAUUGUUAACACUGUUUUUGAGGAAGCAAUUUUGAAUAUAAAAAACUGUAUAAACAAGGAUCAGAGAUAUGGCUUAGUCAAUACAGUGUUUAUGAAACAAGCAUUUUCUAGUGAGUAUGUACCACAAACAUCCACUUCAAAUUAUUCAUGGCAACAUAUACCAUAAACACCACCCCUGUGGUGGCAGAGGGAAGGGGAGCAGAGACCAGCAGAUUUCUAGAACUCACUGAUUAUCCAGUCUAGCCAAAGUAGUGAAUUCUUGUUACAUGAGAGACCUUGUUCUGAAAAUUACAGUUAUUAAUAAUGGAGGAAUAUACCCAAAGUCAACCUCUGACCUCUACUUACACAUUAAUAGAGAGUUGUAUCCAUACAAACCUGUACACGCAUAUGCAUAACACACAAGAGAGACCGACACAAUCACCUAUACCCUUAAAAAACAUGUAAAAGGAGAAAAGUAUCCAAGAGAAGGGUCAUUCCAUGAGUGGAGACAGAAAAUCAAAAGUAUAGAUGAAUUCAUACUAAGAAGCCUCAAGAGACAUGGAGAAUCAAGAAAUCCACACAGUUACUAGAGAGCAGACCACAGUGUAUGUUCAAACCAAAUAAUAAAUUUGGAGUAUUUAUUAAAAUCAAUGGAUGUUUAAUAAAAUAAGAUGGGGUUUAAUAUGUCUUUUGAUGGUGGUGACAUUAGCAGAAAUAACAGAAGCUUGGGUGAGGGGCAUGCAUAAGAGAGUAAGCAGAAAAACUUGGAGCACAAGGACUUAGUAAUGGACAGGAUGAUGAAGCAUGAGGCAGGUGAUGCAAGCCCACUGAUUUCAGAGCUGAGUAACAGUAACUGCAUACCAUGUGUGCUCUUUUGUAAUUGGGUUACCUCACUCGGGGUGAUAUGUCCUAGUUCCAUUCAUUUGCCUAAGAAUUUUGUGAAUUCACUGUUUUUAAUAGCUGCAUAGUACUCCAUUGUGUAAAUGUACCACAUUUUCUGUAUCCAUUCCUCUGUUGAGGGACAUCUCGAUUCUUUCCAGCUUCUGGCUAUUAUAAAUAAGGCUGCUAUGAAUGUAGUGGAGCAUGUGUCCUUAUUACAUGUUGAAGCAUCUUCUGAGUAUAAGCCUAGGAGUGAUAUAGCACUCACUAAUAAGUGGAUAUUAGCCCAGAAUUUCAGAAUACCCAAGAUUCAAUUCACACACCACAUGAAGCUCAAGAAGAAGGAAGACUAAAAGUGUGGAUACUUUGGUCCUUCUUAGAAGGGGGAACAAAAUACCUAUGGGAGGAGAUAGAUAGGCAAAGUGUGGAGCAGAGACUGCAUGAAAGGCCAUCCAGAGACUGCCCCACCUGGGAAUCCAUCCCAUAUUCAGUUACCAAACCCAGACACUAUUGUGGAUGCCAACAAGUGCUUGCUGAUAAGAGCUUGAUAUAGCUUUCUCCUGAGAGUUUUUUCCACUGCCUGACAAAUACAGAGGUGUGUGCUCCCAGCCAACCACUGGAUUGAGCAUGGGAUCCCCAGUGGAGGAGGUUGAGAAAGGUCCCAAGGAGCUAAAAGGUUUUGCAGCCCUAUAGGAGGAACAAAAAUAAGAACCAUCCAGUAACCCCAGAGCUCCUAGGGACUAAACUACCAACCAAAGAGUACACAUGCAGGGACCCAUGGCUCCAGCCACAUAUGUAACAGAGGAUGACCUUGUUGGACAUCAAAUAAGAGCAGAGGUCCUUGGGAGGAGGGACCCUUAGUCCUGUGAAGGCUCAUAUUUUUGUUCCUCUUAUGGGGCUGCAAACCCCUUUAGCUCCUUGGGACCUUUCUCUAACUCCUCCACUGGGGACCCCAUGCUUACGUUUUAAAUGUAAAUAUAGAAAAUAGCUAAUAAAAAACAAAAAGCAAAACAAAACAAAUAAACAAAAAAGAAAUGAGUAACAGGACAAAGAUAUUGGUAAUAACAGAUGUAAAAAUAGGCAGUUGAAGGUGAUGAAUUCAGCUUAAGAUAUAUAAUGUCUAAUGUACAGUUUUAUACUCUUAGAUUUGUAAUAAGCAGAAGUAAAUAUAUUUCUCUUGUUAUUGCUUUGACAACUGUUGCCCUUUGCUAAGGAUGGGUAAGUUUGUUAUUCUGAGUGACUUAUAUACUGGAAAAUGUUGUUCAGCUGGCUUCUAUAAGUGCAUAUGUAUACAGUAGGUGCAUAUUUUAUGCAUACAUAAAUUAUAUGUUUGUGUAUCAUUGAGCUGGGCAUAUUGGCAGGCAUAGGUAGGAACACAAUAGCAACAGGCUUAUUAUAUUUGAAAAUGUACUGUUGGAUUUGGCUGACUACUGGAGAUCAGUUUCAAAGAAGAAAUCUGUCUUGCCCCUGUGUGCUCACUCUCAUUGGAACAGUGCCAGCCUAUUUCCUAGACUCGCUGUCCCCCCACCCCCCGAAGCUCAUGUUGUUUCAGCUUUGCUCACAGGAACUCCUUUCCUGUAAGUAUAUGAAUUCUAUAGUGUGUUUAACUCAUGAAAGGUUGUUUAGGAAGGUUCAUCAAGAAGACUUUAAUACACUUAUUCUAGCAACCACUGCAAAGAACACAAAAGGGGGGGUCAUUUAUUAUACUUCAUUAGAUACCUGCACUCACAUUUUACCUACAUCCAGGUCAUACUCUAUGAACAGAUAGCAAGACCAAUAUCUUGCCUCCAAAAAGUAGGAAGAACCAUUAACAAAGACUCUUGCCUGCAUUUCAUACACUCAAAAUCAUGUGGGCUUAUAUUUUUCAAAACCUAUUUUAUUUAGAGUUUUUAAUUGCCUCCAUUCUAGCCCACUGACCUGAGGCCCCAGAAUGUUUAGAGGUCAGGUGGGGUGGGGGGUUGGGAGCAUCCAUGUGGAGAUUGGGUGUGAUGGGGAGGAGGUGAGAGAUGUGGAGCAGAUAGAGGGUGGAUGGGGAGAGCAGGGAAUGGGAAUUGGAAUGUGAAAAAUAAAUUAAAAAUUAAAUUAAAUU
Molecule: long non-coding RNA, 3938 nt
Filed under: Mus musculus (house mouse)
Lineage: Eukaryota; Metazoa; Chordata; Mammalia; Rodentia; Muridae
Description: long non-coding RNA chr6:46045142-46049080
Source: RNAcentral